Nicotiana attenuata is the source of this 588-nucleotide long non-coding RNA. RefSeq lists it as uncharacterized. The transcript has 2 exons. The record is from RefSeq and is a predicted model, not a curated record. NCBI's taxonomy places the organism in Eukaryota, Viridiplantae, Streptophyta, Magnoliopsida, Solanales, Solanaceae.
AAAGACCAGUCAAUAGUCAUACUAAUCUUCUCUUUGCUUCAUCACCUAGAGCAUAGACAAGCUCAAGACCAAAGCAAAAGAUCAGUCACAAGUAUCUUCUCUUUCCUUCACCUCGCCUAAAAUGGACAAGCUCAAUAAAUCAGUCAUUUUCUCACAGGUUUACCUCGGAGCUCCGAAGCCGGGAAAUCUCAGAUAAAGGACCAAGAUGUAUUUCCAGUUCUCUUUAACAGAAAUGGUGUUAAGAUUUAUGCAUCUCGUCGAUCUUUAUAAGCUUUAUCUUCCAAAACACCCCAUAUUUCUCUGAUUUCACCUUGUUCAAGCCUUCGCCGUUUACUUCUUCACGCCGUUCCUGGUGGAUCCAUUUCGGAGCAUUUAUCACAACGCCGCCAACUUGAGCUCGUGCAGGCCUAUGAGAUGAAUCAUCCUCCAUUGGCCUUCUUGGUUGUGAAAAAAAAUAAAGAACGCAAAUGUAUUACCUAUCUCUCAAAGUACUAAAUCACCUAUAUUUAAGGUUCCAUACUUGCAUUGAGUUUAGAAUGUUCAUUUAUAUGUCCAGUCCAAUAAGUGGACUCAAUAUUGAUUUGCUUA